AUUGAACGCUGGCGGCAUGCCUAACACAUGCAAGUCGAACGGAGAUAGGGGCAACCUUAUUUCAGUGGCGGACGGGUGAGGAAUGCGUCGGAAUCUGCCCUAUGGUGGGGGAUAACACAGGGAAACUUGUGCUAAUACCGCAUAAUGUCGAGAGACCAAAGCAGGGGACCGCAAGGUCUUGCGCGAUAGGAUGAGCCGACGCCCGAUUAGCUUGUUGGUAGGGUAAUGGCCUACCAAGGCGACGAUCGGUAGCUGGUCUGAGAGGAUGAUCAGCCACACUGGGACUGAGACACGGCCCAGACUCCUACGGGAGGCAGCAGUGGGGAAUAUUGGACAAUGGGCGAAAGCCUGAUCCAGCAAUGCCGCGUGUGUGAAGAAGGCCUGAGGGUUGUAAAGCACUUUCAAUCGUGAAGAAAAGUUGCAGGCUAAUACCCUGUGACCUUGACGUUAACGAUACAAGAAGCACCGGCUAACUCCGUG
RNAcentral lists this ribosomal RNA (480 nucleotides) under uncultured bacterium. RNAcentral describes it as "bacterial SSU rRNA". It matches the Rfam family "Bacterial small subunit ribosomal RNA", at positions 30 to 507 of the family's 1533-position model. The record is from RNAcentral.